CCUACGGGAGGCAGCAGUGAGGAAUAUUGGUCAAUGGGCGCGAGCCUGAACCAGCCAAGUAGCGUGAAGGAUGACUGCCCUACGGGUUGUAAACUUCUUUUAUAAAGGAAUAAAGUGAGGCACGUGUGCCUUUUUGUAUGUACUUUAUGAAUAAGGAUCGGCUAACUCCGUGCCAGCAGCCGCGAUAAUACGGAGGGUCCGAGCGUUAUCCGGAUUUAUUGGGUUUAAAGGGAGCGUAGAUGGGUUGUUAAGUCAGUUGUGAAAGUUUGCGGCUCAACCGUGAAAUUGCAAUUGAUACUGGCAGCCUUGAGUACAGUUGAGGGAGGCAGAAUUCGUGGUGUAGCGGUGAAAUGCUUAGAUAUCACGAAGAAUUCCGAUUGCGAAGGCAGCUUACUAAACUGCGACUGACAUUGAUGCGCGAAAGUGUGGGUAGCAAACAGGAUUAGAUACCCCAGUAGUC
RNAcentral lists this ribosomal RNA (460 nucleotides) under uncultured bacterium. RNAcentral describes it as "partial 16S ribosomal RNA". It matches the Rfam family "Bacterial small subunit ribosomal RNA", at positions 338 to 795 of the family's 1533-position model. The record is from RNAcentral.